AGUGAACGCUGGCGGUAGGCCUAACACAUGCAAGUCGAACGGCAGCACAGUAAGAGCUUGCUCUUACGGGUGGCGAGUGGCGGACGGGUGAGGAAUACAUCGGAAUCUACUUUUUCGUGGGGGAUAACGUAGGGAAACUUACGCUAAUACCGCAUACGACCUACGGGUGAAAGCAGGGGAUCUUCGGACCUUGCGCGAUUGAAUGAGCCGAUGUCGGAUUAGCUAGUUGGCGGGGUAAAGGCCUACCAAGGCGACGAUCCGUAGCUGGUCUGAGAGGAUGAUCAGCCACACUGGAACUGAGACACGGUCCAGACUCCUACGGGAGGCAGCAGUGGGGAAUAUUGGACAAUGGGCGCAAGCCUGAUCCAGCCAUACCGCGUGGGUGAAGAAGGCCUUCGGGUUGCAAAGCCCUUUUGUUGGGAAAGAAAAGCAGCAGGUUAAUACCCCGCUGUUCUGACGGUACCCAAAGAAUAAGCACCGGCUAACUUCGUG
This 492-nucleotide ribosomal RNA is filed under the name uncultured bacterium. RNAcentral describes it as "partial 16S ribosomal RNA". It matches the Rfam family "Bacterial small subunit ribosomal RNA", at positions 29 to 507 of the family's 1533-position model. The record is from RNAcentral.